CCUACGGGAGGCAGCAGUGGGGAAUAUUGCACAAUGGGCGAAAGCCUGAUGCAGCGACGCCGCGUGAGGGACGACGGCCUUCGGGUUGUAAACCUCUUUCAGCAGGGACGAAGCGCAAGUGACGGUACCUGCAGAAGAAGCACCGGCUAACUACGUGCCAGCAGCCGCGGUAAUACGUAGGGUGCAAGCGUUGUCCGGAAUUACUGGGCGUAAAGAGUUCGUAGGCGGUUUGUCACGUCGUUUGUGAAAACUCACAGCUCAACUGUGAGCCUGCAGGCGAUACGGGCAGACUUGAGUACUGCAGGGGAGACUGGAAUUCCUGGUGUAGCGGUGAAAUGCGCAGAUAUCAGGAGGAACACCGGUGGCGAAGGCGGGUCUCUGGGCAGUAACUGACGCUGAGGAACGAAAGCGUGGGUAGCGAACAGGAUUAGAUACCCUGGUAGUCCACGCCGUAAACGGUGGGCGCUAGGUGUGGGUUCCUUCCACGGAAUCCGUGCCGUAGCUAACGCAUUAAGCGCCCCGCCUGGGGAGUCGGCCGCAAGGCUAAAACUUAAANGAAUUGACGCCCGAAGGCACGACGAGGGAUAGG
This 589-nucleotide ribosomal RNA is filed under the name uncultured bacterium. Its description in RNAcentral is "bacterial SSU rRNA". It matches the Rfam family "Bacterial small subunit ribosomal RNA", at positions 338 to 943 of the family's 1533-position model. The record is from RNAcentral.